AACAGCGUGGUUUAGUGGUCUGAGUGUUGGACUACAACUCUGGAGACCAGGGUUCUAUUCCCAGCUUAGCCA
This is a non-coding RNA of Phrynosoma platyrhinos (Desert horned lizard), 72 nucleotides long. The record is from the annotation of a GenBank genome assembly. Lineage: Eukaryota; Metazoa; Chordata; Lepidosauria; Squamata; Phrynosomatidae.